GGCCCAAAUUUGAAGUAGGGUAGAUUAGUAGGAUCAUCCAACCAUACUGAUUUACUCUAUUUCAAGUUUGUACCC
Haemonchus placei is the source of this 75-nucleotide non-coding RNA. The record is from Rfam. NCBI's taxonomy places the organism in Eukaryota, Metazoa, Nematoda, Chromadorea, Rhabditida, Trichostrongylidae.